UUUUUAGAGUUUUGAUCUGGCUCAGGACGAACGCUGGCGGCGUGCUUAACACAUGCAAGUCGAACGAUGAACCGCUUUCGGGCGGGGAUUAGUGGCGAACGGGUGAGUAACACGUGGGCAAUCUGCCCUGCACUCUGGGACAAGCCCUGGAAACGGGGUCUAAUACCGGAUAUGACCGUCUGCCGCAUGGUGGAUGGUGUAAAGCUCCGGCGGUGCAGGAUGAGCCCGCGGCCUAUCAGCUUGUUGGUGAGGUAGUGGCUCACCAAGGCGACGACGGGUAGCCGGCCUGAGAGGGCGACCGGCCACACUGGGACUGAGACACGGCCCAGACUCCUACGGGAGGCAGCAGUGGGGAAUAUUGCACAAUGGGCGAAAGCCUGAUGCAGCGACGCCGCGUGAGGGAUGACGGCCUUCGGGUUGUAAACCUCUUUCAGCAGGGAAGAAGCGAAAGUGACGGUACCUGCAGAAGAAGCGCCGGCUAACUACGUGCCAGCAGCCGCGGUAAUACGUAGGGCGCAAGCGUUGUCCGGAAUUAUUGGGCGUAAAGAGCUCGUAGGCGGCUUGUCACGUCGGUUGUGAAAGCCCGGGGCUUAACCCCGGGUCUGCAGUCGAUACGGGCAGGCUAGAGUUCGUAGGGAAU
This 640-nucleotide ribosomal RNA is filed under the name Streptomyces sp. RNAcentral describes it as "bacterial SSU rRNA". It matches the Rfam family "Bacterial small subunit ribosomal RNA", at positions 1 to 658 of the family's 1533-position model. The record is from RNAcentral. Lineage: Bacteria; Bacillati; Actinomycetota; Actinomycetes; Kitasatosporales; Streptomycetaceae.